AGUAUGUGGUUCCCUCGCUGCUUCUUUUUUUUUUUUUUAAGAUUUUAUUUAUUUAUUUGAGAGAGAGAGCACAGAGGGACAGAGGGAGAAGCAGAAUCCCUACUGAGCAAGGAGCCUGAUGCGGGGCUCGAUCCCAGGACCCUGAGAUCAUGACCUGAGCCGAAGGCAGACGCUUAACGACUGAGCCACCCAGGUAACAUCACCUGCUUAGCAGGUCGUCACACACAGGAUACAUCAAGAUUCAAAGCACCCAGAAGACCCUGCCUAAAUGUUUAAGGAAAGGAAUCUUCACAAUCCUAAAAUACCUGAGAUGUUUAUAAUUCCUGGCGUAUUUUGACAAGAAUGGCCUGCAGGUGGCAUUUACAAGAAAAGGUCUUCAAGUUUGAUAGGACUCAGUGAUGCAACUGCAUGGAAGACAUACGGAGUCAUUACGGACACUCAGAGGGCCAUUCGUCCCCCUGCUCUUUCCAGCUCACCCGUGCAGACACAGAGCAACCCCCUGCAGGUCGGCUCGGGCUCCUCCCGACGGGGCAGUGGCAGGACCAUCCAUCUUCCCAGGGAGGAAAUUUUGUCUGACUGGAGGUGUCAAUGACUCCUCAGAGGAAAAUCAGCAUGGAAGUAAGAAGAGCUCAAGGGGACAUCAAGAGUCCACAGUGUCUCUGCUUCAAACUCUUUCAAGUUCUGCAUAUACAUGAACAAGAAAUCCCCAGUCUCUAAGAGGAAGGACAUGCAGACAUCCUAGAGGAAUGAGCUGCCCUUCUCAAGGACUCACUCUUCAGCAUGGAGGCCAUGUAGCGCUCCUGGGUCCCAGAGUCCUCUGCUCCCUUGAACAAUGGAAGCUCCUCUUAGAAAGGAACCUGGUACUGUCACAAGGUUUCGGAAGAAAGGCAGUGGCAUGGGACAAGGUAACACUGCAGGACUCUGCAGGGACUGACAGAAGAGAAAAGAAGCUAGUGGUGGUGGCAGCAGCCAUGCGUUCCUGGAAGAAGAGGAAAGCCGUCUUGUUGGACUCCUGGCUGCAUUGGGCCCUUACCAAGCGCGUUGCACACAUGAUCGCAUUUAACUUUUUUUUUUUUUAAAGAUUUUAUUUAUUUAUUUGACAGAGAGAGAGACACAGCAAGAGAGGGAGCACAAGCAGGGAGAGUGGGAGAGGGAGAAGCAGGGAGCCUGAUGCGGGGCUCGAUCCCAGGACCCUGGGACCAUGACCCAAGCCAUAGGCAGACACUUAACGACUGAGCCACCCAGGCGCCCCACAUUUAACUUUUAUGUGACUCACAACCACCUUGAAAGGUUGACAAAGUUGUCCCUUUGUUAUAGAUGAAAAACAAGGAGCAUCUGGGUGGCUCAGUCCAUUAAGUGUCCGAUUCUUGGUUUCAACUCAGGUCAUGAUGUCAGGAUCGUGGGAUCGAGCCCCACAUCGGGCUCUCUGCUCGGCGGGGGAAUCUGCUGGAGAUUGGGUCUCUCCCUUCCCUCCUCUCUCUCUCUCUCUCUCAAAUAAUAAAUAAAUAAAUAAAUAAAUAAAUAAAUAAAUAAAUAAAUAAAUAAAAUCUAAAAAAGAAAAACAACUGACAUUUAGAAACCUUCUGUUUAAAAGUAGUUUAAUGGAAAAUGCUAUAAAAAUAUUAUUUAUCAGCAGACACAAUGAAUGUGGCGUAUUUAUUGAAACACCCAGAAAAACACCUCAGGUAAACAUUAUGCUCAAGGCCCAAUGUGCUCUGAUUAACUGAGUAGUUCAUCUUACUUAGUUAAUAAUUUUACACUCUAACACUUGCACUUGGAAAAAUUGUGCCUGGGAAGAAUGCAAACCCCUCUGGCUUCAGAAAUGAUUUUCAAACUAGUGUUUGUGCUUUGUGAAUUGUUUUAAUGACGACAGUUCUGAAGGUUGUGAUUCCAUCUCAUUGAUAAUAUAAGUGUAUUAUGUGUAUUAAAUGUAUUCAGCUAUACUUAAGGCAUAAAUGUUUCCAUAAAGCGAAAUCAAAACAAUAUGGCAAUGCUGUGAUGACCAAGGGGCUCA
Mirounga angustirostris (Northern elephant seal) is the source of this 2014-nucleotide long non-coding RNA. RefSeq lists it as uncharacterized. NCBI's taxonomy places the organism in Eukaryota, Metazoa, Chordata, Mammalia, Carnivora, Phocidae. The record is from RefSeq and is a predicted model, not a curated record. The transcript has 4 exons.